Molecule: ribosomal RNA, 713 nt
Filed under: Archytas nivalis
Lineage: Eukaryota; Metazoa; Arthropoda; Insecta; Diptera; Tachinidae
Description: partial 12S ribosomal RNA
Source: RNAcentral
AUGUAAAUUUUUGUGUGAAUUUUUAUUUAUUUUAUAAUAAAUAAAAUUUAUUAUAUUCGCAAUAAUUAAUAUUAUUAAUUAAAGAAAUUUAGGUAUAGUAAUAUUAAAGAGUAUUGGUUAAAAUUUGUGCCAGCAACCGCGGUUAUACGAAUAAUGCAAUAAAUUUUUUUAGUUUAAGUUAAUUGUAUAUAUAUAUUAAAUAAAUUAAUUUAUAAGGUGAAAUUUUAAAUUUAUUAGAUUUUUAUAAUAUUUAACUGAUACUUGAAAAUUUUAAAUAUAAACUAGGAUUAGAUACCCUAUUAUUUAAAAUGUAAAUUAAAAAAACUUAGGUAGUAAUAGUUAUGUUCUUGAAACUUAAAAAAUUUGGCGGUAUUUUAGUCUAUUCAGAGGAACCUGUUUUAUAAUCGAUAAUCCACGAUGGACCUUACUUAAGUUUGUUAUCAGUUUAUAUACCGUCGUUAUUAGAAUAUUUUAUAAGAAAGAUAAUUCUAAAUAAUUUUUAAAUAAAAAGUACUAUAGCAUAAAGGUGCAGUUUAUAUUAAGUAAAAAUGGGCUAAAAUAAAAUUAUUAUAUGAAUAUAAAUUUGAAAUAUUUAUUGAAGGUGGAUUGAUAGUAAAAUUAUAAAGAUUAAUAAUUGAUUUAGCUCUAAAAUAUGCACACAUCGCCCGUCACUCUAUUAUUAAGGUAAGAUAAGUCGUAACAUAGUAGAUGUA